Molecule: ribosomal RNA, 479 nt
Filed under: uncultured bacterium
Lineage: Bacteria
Description: partial 16S ribosomal RNA
Rfam family: Bacterial small subunit ribosomal RNA
Source: RNAcentral
GGACGAACGCUGGCGGCGUGCUUAACACAUGCAAGUCGAACGUGAUUUUUGUGGAAAUUCUUUCGGGAAUGGAAAUGAAAUGAAAGUGGCGAACGGGUGAGUAACACGUGAGCAACCUACCUUACACAGGGGGAUAGCCGUUGGAAACGACGAUUAAUACCGCAUGAGACCACAGAAUCGCAUGAUAUAGGGGUCAAAGAUUUAUCGGUGUAAGAAGGGCUCGCGUCUGAUUAGCUAGUUGGAAGGGUAAAGGCCUACCAAGGCGACGAUCAGUAGCCGGUCUGAGAGGAUGAACGGCCACAUUGGAACUGAGACACGGUCCAAACUCCUACGGGAGGCAGCAGUGGGGAAUAUUGCACAAUGGGGGGAACCCUGAUGCAGCGACGCCGCGUGAGCGAAGAAGGUUUUCGAAUCGUAAAGCUCUGUCCUAUGAGAAGAUAAUGACGGUAUCAUAGGAGGAAGCCCCGGCUAAAUACGUG